GGUCCAGCAUUUCUGUGUUCUCAAAUAAAAUGCUGUGUCCAGGUUGGUUCAUCAGGUGCUCUGCUAUGGCUGAUUUCUCAGGGCGGCUUACAUGAGGCCA
Non-coding RNA from Anolis sagrei ordinatus, 100 nucleotides. NCBI's taxonomy places the organism in Eukaryota, Metazoa, Chordata, Lepidosauria, Squamata, Anolidae. The record is from RefSeq and is a predicted model, not a curated record.